GGGCCCUAACAACACAGAGACAAAUAUAAUCUUGUACAUUUUAGCACUCAAUAAAUGUCAUGGUAAUGGAAUAGGGAGGAGAGCUACAGAUGUUCAAUUUUUCCAAAGCAGAGAUAUUCAAGAGCUAUACUGUGAGAACUCAGCCAGAAUAAAAAGUAAUUGUUUGGGAACUUGUUGGGGAACAUUAAUCAGAGCCAACUGAGGCACAAGUCUGUAAAGCUCCCUAGAAAACACAGAAAUUGAACUGGGAUUUGUUUGCACAAGAGAGCAGGUUUUGAGGAUAUCACAAAUUAUCUUUAGAAAGACUUAAAGCUUUAUGUUUCCCCUUUACCCUUCAACAAUUCUUGGAAAACUGUCUCCUUUCAGAGGUAGAGGUGUUAUUUAUUCCUGGAUUCUCAGUGGAAAAUAAAUGGUAUUAGUAGGCAUGGUGAAGAAAGAAGCAUAUGGCUUCUCGAUUACUUGAUUGCCACACUGUGAUGUCAGUGAUCUUGCCAUAGUUUUUUGGUUUUGAUAGCUAGGUUUAUCCCAUAGCUCCUCAAAUCCAUGCCUAGAUUGUGACCAUUCUUAACCAGGUCAUGUAGCUAGCACAUGGUAAAGAAUUAUUUUGUGUCAUCUAGAAUGUAAAAUUUGAACUAUUCUGUAGAGGUUUCCAGGAAACGUUUUACGAUAAAUGUAAGAAAGAAGUCUCUAAGGAGUCUUAGAGUUUUAUGUAGUUGACAUGACCUGUCUAGUGAAAUAGUUGACUCCAUGUUAUCAGAGUUAUUCAUGAAGAAGCCGGAAUAUCUACUUGCCAGGAAGUGACAGAAAUUUCUUGCAUUUAGUAAGAAGGUUGUUAGAGGACACCUAAGGCUUUGUCAAAUCUUGCUUCCUAAUUGUGGGGCUACAUGGUGGUGCUUAGAGUGGGAUAAGUGGAAAGAGGCCUAGUGCUUACUUAAAAGAGCUGUGGUAUAGACUGAUUGCUCACACCAACAAAAUAAACAAACCUACGCAAUGUUUAUAAAACUAUGUAGUUCAGAAUUCAAGGAAGUUGUCCAAAUUUCAAGACCCAGACAGUUAAGCUCAGGAGCUUAACUUACAAAGCCAAGAAAGAAUUUAAAAAUCACGUCAAAUCCAGAAACAGGAGGAAGAAAAAAAGCUGGUGUUAUCAUUUACAGACAAAUUCUAACAGAGGAGCAGGCCAUAAAACCUUGGGAAAAAACAUUUUAAAGUGUCCAGCUGCCUCUGGUUUAUGUGAAGAAAGAAGAUGAAAAAUGAGAGGGCAGGAUCGGUAACCACUUUACCUACAAUGGUUAGAGAAGGCGAGAAUUGGAAUCUGAAUGCUAAGAAGAGGCAGCUAAGAGAAGAUCUGAAAAUCAAACAUUUCUAACAGAAGGCACAGAAAGGGUUCCCAGGAAUCUCAAGAAGUAUCAAAGAACUGAGACUUACCAGAUCACCACACCCAGAUAAUGAGCUGCCGACCCCUCAUUCAUCGUGACUGCUUCCUUGCCCCUUCCCAGUUCCUGCUUUCUUAUACAUUGUUACAUUUCUUCCCUGCUGUCUAAACUCUUACUUUUGGUGGGUCAGGAGAUGGAUUAGAGACUGAUCUCCCAUCUCCUGGGCUGCAGCACCCAAUUAAAGCCUUCUUCCUUGGCAAUACUCGUCAUUUCAGUGACUGGCUUCCUGUUCAGCGAGAAGCAGGAACUAGACCAAACAUGUUUUGGUAACACAAGGACCACUUCGUGUAGGGUUAUGUGGAGUUUGUUAAGAAAUUUGGAUUUUAUUUUGUUUCUAAAGAAAGCCACAGACUUUUUGACAUGAACAACUAUCAGUGAGAAGAUAGUAUAGACAGGAGGAAACAAACUCUUUCUACCUCAGACCAUCAUGGGACAGACAGAGACAGCUGAAACAAGAGACUCAGUCAUAUUUCCAGGAGAAUAAAUGCGGUUAGGAUUUUGAAUUAUA
This is a long non-coding RNA of Pan troglodytes (chimpanzee), 1941 nucleotides long. RefSeq lists it as uncharacterized. The record is from RefSeq and is a predicted model, not a curated record. NCBI's taxonomy places the organism in Eukaryota, Metazoa, Chordata, Mammalia, Primates, Hominidae. The transcript is spliced from 2 exons.